Molecule: ribosomal RNA, 497 nt
Filed under: uncultured bacterium
Lineage: Bacteria
Description: partial 16S ribosomal RNA
Rfam family: Bacterial small subunit ribosomal RNA
Source: RNAcentral
GAUGAACGCUGGCGGCGUGCCUAAUACAUGCAAGUCGAGCGAACGGACGAGAAGCUUGCUUCUCUGAUGUUAGCGGCGGACGGGUGAGUAACACGUGGAUAACCUACCUAUAAGACUGGGAUAACUUCGGGAAACCGGAGCUAAUACCGGAUGAUAUUUUGAACCGCAUGGUUCAAAAGUGAAAGACGGUCUUGCUGUCACUUAUAGAUGGAUCAGCGCUGCAUUAGCUAGUUGGUAAGGUAACGGCUUACCAAGGCAACGAUGCAUAGCCGACCUGAGAGGGUGAUCGGCCACACUGGAACUGAGACACGGUCCAGACUCCUACGGGAGGCAGCAGUAGGGAAUCUUCCGCAAUGGGCGAAAGCCUGACGGAGCAACGCCGCGUGAGUGAUGAAGGUCUUCGGAUCGUAAAACUCUGUUAUUAGGGAAGAACAUAUGUGUAAGUAACUGUGCACAUCUUGACGGUACCUAAUCAGAAAGACACGGCUAACUACGUG